AUCUCUUGGUUCCAGCAUCGAUGAAGAACGCAGCGAAAUGCGAUAAGUAAUGUGAAUUGCAGAAUUCAGUGAAUCAUCGAAUCUUUGAACGCACAUUGCGCCCCCUGGUAUUCCGGGGGGCAUGCCUGUUCGAGCGUCAUU
This 141-nucleotide ribosomal RNA is filed under the name Parmelia marmariza. Its description in RNAcentral is "5.8S ribosomal RNA". It matches the Rfam family "5.8S ribosomal RNA". From Rfam's summary of the family: 5.8S ribosomal RNA (5.8S rRNA) is a component of the large subunit of the eukaryotic ribosome. The record is from RNAcentral. Lineage: Eukaryota; Fungi; Ascomycota; Lecanoromycetes; Lecanorales; Parmeliaceae. RNAcentral also lists the same sequence under 2 other names.